RNAcentral lists this ribosomal RNA (495 nucleotides) under uncultured bacterium. RNAcentral describes it as "bacterial SSU rRNA". It matches the Rfam family "Bacterial small subunit ribosomal RNA", at positions 28 to 523 of the family's 1533-position model. The record is from RNAcentral.
GAUGAACGCUAGCGGCAGGCUUAACACAUGCAAGUCGAGGGGUAUUGGUUUUCGGACCAAGAGACCGGCGCACGGGUGCGUAACGCGUAUGCAAUCUACCUUUUGCAGAGGGAUAGCCCCAGAGAAAUUUGGAUUAAUACCUCAUAGUAUAGUACUUUGGCAUCAAGGAACUAUUAAAGUCACAACGGCAAAAGAUGAGCAUGCGUCCCAUUAGCUAGUUGGUAAGGUAACGGCUUACCAAGGCUACGAUGGGUAGGGGUCCUGAGAGGGAGAUCCCCCACACUGGUACUGAGACACGGACCAGACUCCUACGGGAGGCAGCAGUGAGGAAUAUUGGACAAUGGGCGCAAGCCUGAUCCAGCCAUGCCGCGUGCAGGAUGACGGUCCUAUGGAUUGUAAACUGCUUUUAUACAGGAAGAAACACUCCGACGUGUCGGAGCUUGACGGUACUGUAAGAAUAAGGAUCGGCUAACUCCGUGCCAGCAGCCGCGGUAA